RNAcentral lists this ribosomal RNA (484 nucleotides) under uncultured bacterium. Its description in RNAcentral is "partial 16S ribosomal RNA". It matches the Rfam family "Bacterial small subunit ribosomal RNA", at positions 30 to 507 of the family's 1533-position model. The record is from RNAcentral.
AUUGAACGCUGGCAGCAGGCCUAACACAUGCAAGUCGAGCGGAUGAAGGGAGCUUGCUCCUGGAUUCAGCGGCGGACGGGUGAGUAAUGCCUAGGAAUCUGCCUGGUAGUGGGGGAUAACGUCCGGAAACGGGCGCUAAUACCGCAUACGUCCUGAGGGAGAAAGUGGGGGAUCUUCGGACCUCACGCUAUCAGAUGAGCCUAGGUCGGAUUAGCUAGUUGGUGGGGUAAAGGCCUACCAAGGCGACGAUCCGUAACUGGUCUGAGAGGAUGAUCAGUCACACUGGAACUGAGACACGGUCCAGACUCCUACGGGAGGCAGCAGUGGGGAAUAUUGGACAAUGGGCGAAAGCCUGAUCCAGCCAUGCCGCGUGUGUGAAGAAGGUCUUCGGAUUGUAAAGCACUUUAAGUUGGGAGGAAGGGCAGUAAGUUAAUACCUUGCUGUUUUGACGUUACCAACAGAAUGAGCACCGGCUAACUUCGUG